UGCUGUAAAUAGUUUUGUCUUUGGUUAAAGUACCUUUUGCAUCAUGAUUCUUUGAGAUGUUUAGAUUAUUUCUAGUUCCCGAAUGGCUUAUGAUUUUCAUUGAUUCAUAGCAAGUUUGUGCAUAGAUAAGUUGUUGUGUAAACAUUUGUAGAAAUCAUUGAGGUUGUGAUAAAUAAUUCGUAUAGUCUGAUAACUGGUUUAUAGCUUGAUUAUUUCAACGAAAUAAAGAUUGAUUGUGUUUAUCUUUACUGAUAGAGAUAGUUUAUAUGUUGUUGUUGAGUCUUGGAUUAGAAUUGUCCUAGGAUAAGUUAGUUAUUUACUUGACAUUUUAUUUGUAUGUUUUCUUAUUGUUGAUGGCUAUAUUCUUAAUUAUUUGUUUAAUAAUGAAGAAAUGAGUAGGAUUAUGUUUUAUUAGUCCGUUAUUUGUCUUUAAUUCUGUUCAACUGUUUAUCAAAAACAUUGCUAUUUGUUGGAUUUAAAUAGUAUGGCCUGCCCAAUGUUGUAAAUUAAUGGUCGCAGUUUUACUGUGCUAAGGUAGCAUAAUAUAUCGCUUCUUAAUUAGUGGCUUGUGAAUGGUUUAAUGAAAUAGAAUAUUUAAAUGAUGACUAUAUCUGAAAUUGAUUUAGUGGUGCGGAAUCCAUUGUUAUAAUAUAA
RNAcentral lists this ribosomal RNA (654 nucleotides) under Schistosoma japonicum. Its description in RNAcentral is "partial 16S ribosomal RNA". Lineage: Eukaryota; Metazoa; Platyhelminthes; Trematoda; Strigeidida; Schistosomatidae. The record is from RNAcentral.